AUUUCAGACAAGCUCUCAAGUGAGGCUGACACUGCUGGCCCAAGGAUAAGAAUUCAUUGUUUUGCCUAAUAAGUCAUCUCAACAAAUAGCCAAUCCCUGAAGCAUUGACCUUCAUAGCUGUUUCUGCCAGACAACCUUUUAUUACCUCAGAAAAGCAAUGCCCAGAUAACCUGAAGAAGCCUAAGAUGUUACCCAUACAUCCUGGAUCAACAUAGCUUCUGGCUUUGCUUUCCCAGUUUCUCUCCAAUCAAGACAACAGGAAAGAAUAUUUAAAAGAAAAGGGAAAGUGAAGGGCAAGGGGAAGAGUAGACCAGACUCUCCAAGGAAAACUCCUCCACAGCCAGUUCUCCGUGCAAGCGCGUCCACACUAAGCCCACGAGCAUUCAGUCCUUUUGUUCCUAUUUUUCCACAACCUCACCAUUCUAAGGGUGGUGUCCGGAGCAGCAGAAUCGGCACCACCUGGCGUCUCCUUAGAACUAUAGAAUCUC
Long non-coding RNA from Bos taurus (domestic cattle), 488 nucleotides. Lineage: Eukaryota; Metazoa; Chordata; Mammalia; Artiodactyla; Bovidae. The record is from Ensembl.